AUACCUUGCUUCCCCCAAUUAUUGUUCGUUAACCAAAACACCAAACCAUUGUUCGACGCGCUCCCCUCCUGCACGCAACCUCCUCCUCCUCCUCCGGAUCCAGGAUCGCCCGCGCGCCCUCGGUGAGCUGCGUUCGUUUUGAUUUACCGGGAAAUUCUGUUUGCUUCAUGUUGCGCAGGCUCAGAUCUGAUUGCUGGAUUCGGCGUCUUUCGUCUUGAUGAAUCGAGCUUGGAGCGCGUGGAUCUGAUCCCGGGGGAUACACCAAACGCGCGCGCAUGACGCGUUGGAUCCGGCACCGGUUUCAGAUCCGGCGAAAUCGCGACGUUACCGGUGGUUCUGUCUGGAGCGGGUCUGUGGCGACGGUGGCUGAAGGAGGCGUCGGCGGUGGCGGGAUCUAUUGGUCUGCUCCACCUCGCGGGAUGAUUGUCUCUGCGCUGAUAAUUAUUGGAUGAAUUUCGAUAAUUAUUAGUAGAUCUAAGAGAUGUGGCCGCCUUGAAGAGGCGAGGUAAGAUGCAACAUGUAAGAGUCGAGUCAAGAGUCUCUGCGUGCGUCGGGGAAAAAAAGAGGAAAAAAAAGAUGUGAUGCUAGAGGCCUUUGCCAUGAUGGGUGCGCUCGCAUGGCAGGCCACGGUGAUAAUAAAAAAAAGAUGAUUAUUGUGUCCCGGGGGAGGAGAUCGCACGGGGGUUGAUUUUUUUGGCCCCGGGUUCUCCUCCCCCAUGGUGUUCCCUUGUCCUUGCGUCCGUUGCCUGCGUUCUCCGCUCAUCUACAGAACACGUCGGAUUUUUUUUGCAACUAAUACGGAGAUCUACAACGAAGCUACAGCGAGAAUCCCAAGGUACAAUCGUUAAUUAAGUUGAAACAAUCUUUUAAGUCGUUUCGUGUUCCUUCUAUUCCACACGAAGCCUAUGUUCUUAUUCUGCGCUUGCAUGUUCAAAAUAUGCUGAAACAACCAUGAAUAGCCAUCGAACUGAAGAUCCUAAAACACCCUACCAACAACUUCCACUCCAUCAACUUCCACUUUGCCCAGCUCAGUUGAAGUUAGUCUUCUAUAAUUGAAGACUGGCAUGAACUCAAAGAAGCACACGUUAUUAAUGAUUCAAUGAACUUCAGAAGUGUGUAAAAGUUUAGGUUGCAUCUGCAAAUUAUAUUUCUGCUGUUGAGCCUGAUAAUAUCAUUCGCGUAUUAUCUGUAAAACCCUUUUGUCUGAUGGCACUGCGUUUCUAUUUCAUUUGUAUAUUAUAUUUUCUGCAAUUUUUCUUGCCUAAUUGCUUUGGACUUCAUUAGAAAUUUAUCUGUAAGCAACUCUAUGUUCCUGUAUCUUAUCAUGUCUCGGAUUUUCGUUUGUAUUUAUCAUAUAUAUGUGGUCAAAUCGGAUAUUUGUUCUUUUUUGUAAGCCUGUUAGCGUGGUUUAUGUUCGUCAAGCCAUAGCAAUUGUUGGGCUUGUGUAGACUAGAUGGUCGCAAAAUUGCAGUAUGAUGGAUUCCAUUUCCAUAUUAUAAGAGUUUCUUGACCAUGGGGUGCCUCAAUCUUGGUUAUGCUGGAGGGCAGUGCUGAUGCAACUGAUGGGUUAUGGUGUGCUUAAAUCGUGGUUAUGCUAUGGAGCCGGUGGCUAUGCUGACGGAAUCGAUUGGUGAAGAUUUCGUUCCAAAUGGUCCAUCUUGCUGACGGUGGUUGUGACUGCCCAGGUGUUCCUUCUACUUGUACGUUGCUUUUUUGACGGCACUGCACAUGGACAGUUGGUCAUAAGUUUCUUUUUGAUGGCACUGUAUAUAUUGUUGUACAAUUUAUUUCUUGGCAGUUGCAGUAGAAGUUCGAGGGGUAUGAGAACACAAGUUUACCAGGAGACCAAUUUGUUUCAAAGUUUCUCAUUAUUAUAUUCAUUUGAUGGUUUGGAAA
Sorghum bicolor (sorghum) is the source of this 1896-nucleotide RNA transcript. RefSeq lists it as uncharacterized. The record is from RefSeq and is a predicted model, not a curated record. The transcript is spliced from 3 exons. NCBI's taxonomy places the organism in Eukaryota, Viridiplantae, Streptophyta, Magnoliopsida, Poales, Poaceae.